Molecule: long non-coding RNA, 912 nt
Organism: Poeciliopsis prolifica (blackstripe livebearer)
Lineage: Eukaryota; Metazoa; Chordata; Actinopteri; Cyprinodontiformes; Poeciliidae
Exons: 4
Source: RefSeq, a predicted model, not a curated record
GUUCCAAAGCGCUAUUGUGUCAGACUCAUCUCCCGCUGAAGAGGAUCCAGCGACAUCAAGAGAUUACGGAAAAUCACGCGAGAUAACUGGCUUGCACCUUGUUGGGUUUUUUCAAGGGCAGAGGGGAGAUUCCUGGCGUGCAUCCACUUAAUUUGAAGAAGAACAUCACCUGUCUGUAAUCCACCUGCGAUGACACUGCUGAGGGCAGAUGAGAGUGCAUCCUCAAAGGUCUGUGUGUACCUAAAUGAAGAUCCAGAGAAGCUGGUGAGGGAGUACAUGGACGUUGAUGAAUGAAAUGGCCAAAGCCGAGACUGUCCUCGGAAUCGUCAUUUGAGCAGAGGGUGCAGAGGCUGCCGAUGCACAUCUGGAUGUUGGGAUUGUCUUGGAGGAGGUGGAAGUUAUGAACAGCUUGGGCAGUGUAUCUUCUGCAAUAGUGAUGCUGCUGGGACUAAUCUACGCACUAAACUUGAGCUACCCUCAAGUUUACAUUUAUCGCCGCACCAUGUUAGGUACAUUCUGUGCGAAAAAAGUCUGCAGAGCCAUAUGUAGUGUACAAAGCUAAACUUGAGCUACCCUCAAGUUUAGUGCGUUCAGAACUCAACUUGCUCAGUAACUCAAGCAUACCUUUGAAGUAAUACAGAAAAUAAUAAUGAAAUUGGAUGGAAAGAACUUAUCAAAGAAAGCACAAGUUCUCAAUAUGAAACUCGCUGCUAAGUUAAGUUUCAUAUGGAAAAUGAGUGUUUAAAGUCUGCAGUAGAAAAGAUUUAUAUUGUUACAGUUCUCUAAGUUGAGCAACUAUACUGACAUGUUUUAUGUUGUAAAGAAUUGGCUGGGAAAUGAAACUGUAACCUUUUUGUAGUUGUUUUUUUAUUUCAAUGUCCAACUCAGCUGUGUUUUGUGCUGUGUAAAAAG